This 895-nucleotide long non-coding RNA is filed under the name Triticum aestivum (bread wheat). RNAcentral describes it as "long non-coding RNA (TAES_LNC012134)". The record is from RNAcentral. Lineage: Eukaryota; Viridiplantae; Streptophyta; Magnoliopsida; Poales; Poaceae.
UGACGGAUGGCACUAGCGGAAAGGUGAGCACCGGUGGAGAUAAGCGAGAAAAGGAGUAGCGCGAGGCGGUAGGCAGCCUUGAAGAGGAUGAGUGGGCCCGCUGCUAGGGGAUGGUCCUAGGGAUUUUUGAAUCAACGAGAGCAGUGUCGGCCCAGGUAUCUUCUUCCAUCUCUGGAUCCUAAACUAUAUAUCUCUCUAAUCUGCAUUGACACGCAGUAGUGCCGGGUACAAGUGUGUGGCUGCUCCAGUGCGAUGAACAGUGCGAUGAAGUUAAUAGCUCUUUAUCCUUAUUCCUCUUAUUCAUUGUGUAUUUCCCCGUUUCAUACAUGUAACAAUGAUGAAUGAUGAUGAACUUAGACUUGGUGUAAGGAGAGUCAUUCUGUUUCCUUGAACUAAACAACCUUCUAUCCUUAUAUUUAUCCUAAAAGCUUUCAGACGAUACUCACACCAUAUGAUUCAUUGAAGCAUAGAAGUAUUUUUUUCACAUCUAUUACAAUCCAAUAUUUGUUAGUUAAUCAUAUUCUUUAUAUUCGCAAGUAGUAUAAAGUUGCCCCAAAAUUGGUAAUAUGAUUUUGGAUUAUACAUUAUAUGCCGACAAGGAGAUUAAUGCUGCCCAAUAAACUAGCAGUAUGAAAUAACCCUGCAUAUAUUUGUUGAUUUUGAAUUUGAGCCUUUCAAUCCAACUAAAAAAUUUAUUUGUACAAUAUUUACUGACUUUUACCUCUUGUUUUGCAGGCUAUCUAGAAUGAUUGCAUGUAUUAAUGAAGUAGUCCACGUUAGGUGGAUUGGCUCAAAAUGGAGAAGCAUGAUUGUAUUAAGCAUUUAAGCUCUAAGCAAUUUAGAAUGUCAAUGUCUUGGGGCUCCCUUGCAAUAUUUCAGAGAACUAUAUUUUUUC